This 326-nucleotide ribosomal RNA is filed under the name uncultured bacterium. RNAcentral describes it as "bacterial SSU rRNA". It matches the Rfam family "Bacterial small subunit ribosomal RNA", at positions 29 to 381 of the family's 1533-position model. The record is from RNAcentral.
AGCGAACGCUGGCGGCAGGCUUAACACAUGCAAGUCGAGCGGGCGUAGCAAUACGUCAGCGGCAGACGGGUGAGUAACGCGUGGGAACAUACCUUUUGGUUCGGAACAACACAGGGAAACUUGUGCUAAUACCGGAUAAGCCCUUACGGGGAAAGAUUUAUCGCCGAAAGAUUGGCCCGCGUCUGAUUAGCUAGUUGGUGAGGUAAUGGCUCACCAAGGCGACGAUCAGUAGCGGUCUGAGAGGAUGAUCAGCCACAUUGGGACUGGGACACGGCCCAAACUCCUACGGGAGGCAGCAGUGGGGAAUAUUGGACAAUGGGCGCAAG